Molecule: ribosomal RNA, 465 nt
Filed under: Vreelandella stevensii
Lineage: Bacteria; Pseudomonadati; Pseudomonadota; Gammaproteobacteria; Oceanospirillales; Halomonadaceae
Description: partial 16S ribosomal RNA
Rfam family: Bacterial small subunit ribosomal RNA
Source: RNAcentral
CCUACGGGUGGCAGCAGUGGGGAAUAUUGGACAAUGGGCGAAAGCCUGAUCCAGCCAUGCCGCGUGUGUGAAGAAGGCCUUCGGGUUGUAAAGCACUUUCAGUGGGGAAGAAAGCCUUGGGGCUAAUACCCUCGAGGAAGGACAUCACCCACAGAAGAAGCACCGGCUAACUCCGUGCCAGCAGCCGCGGUAAUACGGAGGGUGCGAGCGUUAAUCGGAAUUACUGGGCGUAAAGCGCGCGUAGGCGGUCUGAUAAGCCGGUUGUGAAAGCCCCGGGCUCAACCUGGGAACGGCAUCCGGAACUGUCAGGCUAGAGUGCAGGAGAGGAAGGUAGAAUUCCCGGUGUAGCGGUGAAAUGCGUAGAGAUCGGGAGGAAUACCAGUGGCGAAGGCGGUCUUCUGGACUGACACUGACGCUGAGGUGCGAAAGCGUGGGUAGCAAACAGGAUUAGAUACCCCAGUAGUC